GACGAACGCUGGCGGCGUGCUUAACACAUGCAAGUCGAACGGAAAGGCCCUGCUUUUGUGGGGUGCUCGAGUGGCGAACGGGUGAGUAACACGUGAGUAACCUGCCCUUGACUUUGGGAUAACUUCAGGAAACUGGGGCUAAUACCGGAUAGGAGCUCCUGCUGCAUGGUGGGGGUUGGAAAGUUUCGGCGGUUGGGGAUGGACUCGCUGCUUAUCUGCUUGUUGGUGGGGUAGUGGCUUACCAAGGCUUUGACGGGUAGCCGGCCUGUGAGGGUGACCGGCCACAUUGGGACUGGGAUACGGCCCAGCCUCCUACGGGAGGCAGCAGUGGGGAAUAUUGAACAAUGGGCGGAAGCCUGAUGCAGCAACGCCGCGUGCGGGAUGACGGCCUUCGGGUUGUAACCCGCUUUCGCCUGUGACGAAGCGUGAGUGACGGUAAUGGGUAAAGAAGCACCGGCUAACUACGUG
This 468-nucleotide ribosomal RNA is filed under the name uncultured bacterium. RNAcentral describes it as "partial 16S ribosomal RNA". It matches the Rfam family "Bacterial small subunit ribosomal RNA", at positions 28 to 507 of the family's 1533-position model. The record is from RNAcentral.